CGGUGGAGCAUGUGUUAAUUCGUAAGCAACGCGAAGAACCUUACCAGGUCUUGACAUCCCGAUGCUAUUUCUAGAGAUAGAAGUUACUUCGGUACAUCGGUGACAGGUGGUGCAUGGUUGUCGUCAGCUCGUGUCGUGAGAUGUUGGGUUAAGUCCCGCAACGAGCGCAACCCCUAUUGUUAGUUGCCAUCAUUCAGUUGGGCACUCUAGCGAGACUGCCGGUAAUAAACCGGAGGAAGUGGGGAUGACGUCAAAUCAUCAUGCCCCUUAUGACCUGGGCUACACACGUGCUACAAUGGUUGGUACAACGAGUUGCGAGUCGGUGACGGCGAGCUAAUCUCUUAAAGCCAAUCUCAGUUCGGAUUGUAGGCUGCAACUCGCCUACAUGAAGUCGGAAUCGCUAGUAAUCGCGGAUCAGCACGCCGCGGUGAAUACGUUCCCGGGCCUU
This 448-nucleotide ribosomal RNA is filed under the name uncultured Streptococcus sp. Its description in RNAcentral is "bacterial SSU rRNA". It matches the Rfam family "Bacterial small subunit ribosomal RNA", at positions 930 to 1382 of the family's 1533-position model. Lineage: Bacteria; Bacillati; Bacillota; Bacilli; Lactobacillales; Streptococcaceae. The record is from RNAcentral.